Molecule: small nuclear RNA, 116 nt
Organism: Cynocephalus volans (Philippine flying lemur)
Lineage: Eukaryota; Metazoa; Chordata; Mammalia; Dermoptera; Cynocephalidae
Product: U5 spliceosomal RNA
Exons: 1
Source: RefSeq, a predicted model, not a curated record
CAACUCUUGUUUCUCAUUAUAUUGCACAAAUCUUUCACCUUUUACUAAAGAUUUCCAUGGAGGGAGACAAAGUUGAGUCUUAAAUCAAUGUUUUGAGAUCUUGCAUGGGCAGGGAU